RNAcentral lists this ribosomal RNA (468 nucleotides) under uncultured bacterium. RNAcentral describes it as "partial 16S ribosomal RNA". It matches the Rfam family "Bacterial small subunit ribosomal RNA", at positions 28 to 507 of the family's 1533-position model. The record is from RNAcentral.
GACGAACGCUGGCGGCGUGCUUAACACAUGCAAGUCGAACGGAAAGGCCCUGCUCUUGUGGGGUUCUCGAGUGGCGAACGGGUGAGUAACACGUGAGUAACCUGCCCUUGACUUUGGGAUAACUUCAGGAAACUGGGGCUAAUACCGGAUAGGAGCUCCUGCUGCAUGGUGGGGGUUGGAAAGUUUCGGCGGUUGGGGAUGGACUCGCGGUUUAUCAGCUUGUUGGUGGGGUAGUUGCUUACCAAGGCUUUGACGGGUAGCCGGCCUGAGAGGGUGAACGGCCACCUUGGGACUGAGAUACGGCGCAGAAGCGUACGGGAGGCAGCAGUGGGGAAUAUUGCACAAUGGGCGGAAGCCUGAUGCAGCAACGCCGCGUGCGGGAUGACGGCCUUCGGGUUGUAAACCGCUUUCGCCUGUGACGAAGCGUGAGUGACGGUAAUGGGUAAAGAAGCACCGGCUAACUACGUG